AGUGAACGCUGGCGGUAGGCCUAACACAUGCAAGUCGAACGGCAGCACAGUAAGAGCUUGCUCUUACGGGUGGCGAGUGGCGGACGGGUGAGGAAUACAUCGGAAUCUACUUUUUCGUGGGGGAUAACGUAGGGAAACUUACGCUAAUACCGCAUACGACCUACGGGUGAAAGCAGGGGAUCUUCGGACCUUGCGCGAUUGAAUGAGCCGAUGUCGGAUUAGCUAGUUGGCGGGGUAAAGGCCCACCAAGGCGACGAUCCGUAGCUGGUCUGAGAGGAUGAUCAGCCACACUGGAACUGAGACACGGUCCAGACUCCUACAGGAGGCAGCAGUGGGGAAUAUUGGACAAUGGGCGCAAGCCUGAUCCAGCCAUACCGCGUGGGUGAAGAAGGCCUUCGGGUUGUAAAGCACUUUUGUUGGGAAAGAAAAGCAGCAGGUUAAUACCCAGCUGUUCUGACGGUACCCAAAGAAUAAGCACCGGCUAACUUCGUG
RNAcentral lists this ribosomal RNA (492 nucleotides) under uncultured bacterium. Its description in RNAcentral is "partial 16S ribosomal RNA". It matches the Rfam family "Bacterial small subunit ribosomal RNA", at positions 29 to 507 of the family's 1533-position model. The record is from RNAcentral.